This 800-nucleotide ribosomal RNA is filed under the name Bacillus sp. MAC17128. RNAcentral describes it as "bacterial SSU rRNA". It matches the Rfam family "Bacterial small subunit ribosomal RNA", at positions 562 to 1363 of the family's 1533-position model. Lineage: Bacteria; Bacillati; Bacillota; Bacilli; Caryophanales; Bacillaceae. The record is from RNAcentral.
AAAGCGCGCGCAGGCGGCCUUUUAAGUCUGAUGUGAAAUCUUGCGGCUCAACCGCAAGCGGCCAUUGGAAACUGGGAGGCUUGAGUACAGAAGAGGAGAGUGGAAUUCCACGUGUAGCGGUGAAAUGCGUAGAUAUGUGGAGGAACACCAGUGGCGAAGGCGACUCUCUGGUCUGUAACUGACGCUGAGGCGCGAAAGCGUGGGGAGCAAACAGGAUUAGAUACCCUGGUAGUCCACGCCGUAAACGAUGAGUGCUAGGUGUUAGGGGUUUCGAUGCCCGUAGUGCCGAAGUUAACACAUUAAGCACUCCGCCUGGGGAGUACGGCCGCAAGGCUGAAACUCAAAGGAAUUGACGGGGGCCCGCACAAGCAGUGGAGCAUGUGGUUUAAUUCGAAGCAACGCGAAGAACCUUACCAGGUCUUGACAUCCUUUGACCACUCUGGAGACAGAGCUUCCCCUUCGGGGGCAAAGUGACAGGUGGUGCAUGGUUGUCGUCAGCUCGUGUCGUGAGAUGUUGGGUUAAGUCCCGCAACGAGCGCAACCCUUGACCUUAGUUGCCAGCAUUUAGUUGGGCACUCUAAGGUGACUGCCGGUGACAAACCGGAGGAAGGUGGGGAUGACGUCAAAUCAUCAUGCCCCUUAUGACCUGGGCUACACACGUGCUACAAUGGAUGGUACAAAGGGUUGCGAAGCCGCGAGGUGAAGCCAAUCCCAUAAAGCCAUUCUCAGUUCGGAUUGUAGGCUGCAACUCGCCUGCAUGAAGCUGGAAUUGCUAGUAAUCGCGGAUCAGCUGCCGCGGA